AAGUCGUAACAAGGUUUCCGUAGGUGAACCUGCGGAAGGAUCAUUUUUGAGCGAGGGGGUUUAUCCCCCGAGCGUAUAUAUCCAUUAACACUGUGAAUUGUCAUUGGCUAUUAAGCCACUACAAACCCUGUGUAAUGAACGUUGAUUUUAUUGUAAUUAAUAAAACUUUCAACAACGGAUCUCUUGGCUCUC
This 192-nucleotide unclassified non-coding RNA is filed under the name fungal sp. Its description in RNAcentral is "partial internal transcribed spacer region". The stretch from base 1 to 46 matches the Rfam family "Eukaryotic small subunit ribosomal RNA", at positions 1786 to 1831 of the family's 1831-position model. The record is from RNAcentral. Lineage: Eukaryota; Fungi.